RNAcentral lists this long non-coding RNA (902 nucleotides) under Mus musculus (house mouse). RNAcentral's name for it is "elncRNA-EC11". Lineage: Eukaryota; Metazoa; Chordata; Mammalia; Rodentia; Muridae. The record is from RNAcentral.
GCUUUUGUUAUGUUCAACCAGUUCAGUUUUUUUUUUCAGCGAUUUUUGUUUUUAGACUUCUAAUUAUGUUACAAUCUGUAGAGGCUCUUCAAAAUAUCUCCAAGGACUCCAGACAGGCUGGUGGGCACAACCAAGACCAAGUGUCAACAAAGGAUAUGCCUCCAGGAACCCACAUCACCCUGCAUUCCUCUGCUGUUAUUUUUAGUUAAGUGGGGUGAAUGUGAGCGUUGAAGUAGCUCCUGUCUUUGAAUGCAGGUCUCCAGCGUGGAUGUGAAACUUUCAUCCAGUGCCAGGCAGUGAAGUGGAAACUGGCUGCCUGAGAUAUUUUCACUUAUGAGAUUGCAAGCAGAUACAUUUCUGUGGUUGUGAAGUACCAACGUCUAGGCACGCUGCCAUAAUUCAAAGACAGCUAAGAAAUGUGAAUCUCGAAAGUGUGGUCCACUGUCUGCUGGAAAUCUACAAAGGUGGAAAUCAAAUACUCUAGAUGCACAGCACAGGGUUUGGAGGCUGAAGACUCCUAGGAGCAAGAAAGGAAGGAGAGAACCCAAGGAAACCCUGUCCAGGGUAGAGCGGUGGAAACGUGGCGCUAACAAAGACUUCCUGUUCGGCACAGAAUCCAGGCUGGCAGAGGCGGCUGCAGGGCUGUGGGUGUACUCAGCUGUGCAGAGCUGAUUAUAGAAGAUGAAAGGGCUUGGCAAUUCACUUCAUCUCAUGCUGAAACACUGCUGACAACUGAAAGUGAGGACAGAAGGAUUCAUUUGUUCAACUUCUGUUUUAAAAAGCAGACUUCAAAUGAUACCAUGGAGAAAAGGAGGCGGGGCCCUGGUGUAAUGGUGUAAUGCGAUGCUUUUUUUUUUUUUUUAUAACACACUAGCUGCAGCGUUUAUGUUUUGUACAUGGCU